CGAGUCACCCAGGCAUCCCUACUUUAGGCUUUGAAUGUUUAUAUUUUUUGUGGCUUCAUUUUUUUUUUUUUUAACUCCAGAUUGCUUCUGGUUCUUCAGUUAUUCAUCUCGUGUGUGUGUGUGUGUGUGUGUGUGUGUGUUUUAAAGAAUCUCUUUGCCUGAUGUGGGGCUUGAACUCAUGACCCCCAGAUCAAGAGUUGCAUAUUCUGGGCAAGCAUGCCACCCACAUUAUUCUUCAAACCAAACCUUAUGAACUAUUUUUGCAUCCAUGCCCUGUACUAGUUCUCAAGAAGACAAAAGAGCCCUCACAGAGCUCAAGGUCCAUUGGAAAAUGUAUCCUCUGUUUCCCCCACGUUGAUGUGGGCUCCCAUGAAGACAGGAGAGUGUGAAGAGCAGGCAAAUCGGGGUUCGCCCCCUGACAAAUUCAGGUCUUUUUUUUUUUCCUUCCCAAAUUAGGAUUCCACCUGGUGGUCAUAGCUAGGAAAACAUUCAGGGAAAGGACAUGGAAGUGAUGGAAGAAACAGCAUCUUUUGCUCUUAGGCGUUCUCCAUCCCCUCCCUGUAAACUACCUAGAAUCGUUUCUGUGUAUAUUUUCUCUUUGGGGGAAGGGGUGCCCCGGAUUCUCUGGGAGUCAGGGCCCCAAUUACUAAGAAGAAGCUUUCUACCUCCCCCAGUUCCUGGAUUCUUGUCCCAUCUCUCCCUCUAACGCUCUUUCAAAUUCUGGAGUCCUUGAGGUUGCUUCUGACCAAUCCUGUCCAUCACUUCUCUCCCUGGACUUUAGCUCCUGCUUCCUAGUGUGGGAGCGGUUCCAGGCUUGUUGACCUCAACCAUAGGCAAGUCGCUUGCCAUUUCUAAGCCCCAGUCCCAUCAUCUGCGGAAUAGAAAGUGGAGUCUGCAGGGUUCCUGGAAUGGAUUAGUUUCGGGUGUCACUUAAUCCAGGAGGCCCUUCCGUAAUCAGAGUCUUCGGUCGCAGUGGUGCUAUAAAUGCACACAAGUAGCUCAGCUCACCGAGACCACAGGAUGGAGAGGGGGGCCGCAGCCAAGCUGCUGUUGCUGGUGCUGCUGUGGGGCACCUGCUGCAGAAAUGCACAAGCUGACCACCUGAGUGACUACACGUCGGUCAUCGAGGUGACCAAUGGGGGACCUUGGGGCGACUGGGCCUGGCCGGAGAUGUGUCCUGAUGGAUUCUUUGCCAGUGGGUUCUCGCUCAAGGAAGAGCCCCCCCAAGGCAUCUCCAGAGAUGACACGGCUUUGAACGGGAUUCGACUGCACUGCUCACGGGGGAAUGCGGAGCGCAACACGCAGGUGGUGGAGUCCCAGUCUGGAAGGUGGGGCUCAUGGAGUGAGCCCCUGUGGUGCCCUGGCGGUGGCUUUCUGGUGGCUUUCUCGCUGAGGGUGGAGGCGCGCCAGACCCUCGGGGACAACACGGCUGCCAACAACGUACGCUUCCGCUGCUCCGACAGCACGGAGCUGGAGAGGCCCGGCCUGGCCUGGGGUGACUUUGGGAAAUGGAGUAAGCCCUGCCCCAAAGGCGUGUGCGGUCUGCAGACCAAGGUGGAGCCCCCGAUGGGCCUCCAGGAUGACACCGCCCUCAACGACGUGCGCUUCUUCUGCUGCCGCAGUUAAGGAGGUCGCCGGCCCCCCGCCAGUCCCACCGCGCUCGCUCCCUAUUAUAGCUUCUCUGUCUCUGCUGUGGUCUCGCUUGUUUUAGAGAAGACACCGAGGGUGGCGUUCACCAGCUGUAUCCCGCACAGCACGACCUCCAGACACGAGGCGGCCACCAGCAGCGAGAAGAGAGUCACAUUCCAGGAGACCACACCUGGUGGCUCCACGCACAAGUCCCACAAAGUAUGGUUGAGCAGCAAAUGGGUCCGAUUCGGAGCCCGGCUCCUGACACUGACAGGCAGUAGAUGGCACCCAGCACCCCGAAGGCCGAGGAGAAGAUGGAGCGCAGCAUCUGGAUGCGCCAUGGAAGGAGAAGUGAGCAGGCCGCCUCUCCCGCGCCUGCACCUUACCUCGCAGGGCUCCCGACGCAUGCAAAAUACAUCUCCCUGAGCAUCUGGGGAGCUCAGUCCAUUAAGCAUCUGCUUUCGACUGGGGUCAUGGUCGUGGGUCCUGGGGUCGAGCUCCCAGUGGUGCUUCCUGCUUAGCGAGGAGCCUGCUUUUCCCUCUCCAUCUGCCCCCUUUCGUGCUCCCGUGCUCGUUCUCUCUCUCUCAAAUAAAUGAAUAAAAUCUUAAAAAAACAAAACAAAACAAAAAACCCUCCCUGCAAACCCGGGGGCUGGGCCUUAGCUGCUCCUGGAGCCAGAGGCUGCGGAGGUCGGUCGGAAGUUGUAGCGCCCCUCUGUAUGUCCACUGAGGCCAAGUGCAGGGGCGUAGCUGGGACUCUGAGGAGGAGCUCCCGCAGCUGGUGGGGGACCGUGGCCACAGGUGUGGCUCUGCGAAGAUCCAUGCAGAGGGUCUUCCCAAUCCCGCCCUCGUUUGAAUCUUACCCUGCAGCGAUUUCCGCAGCAGCCCACGCCGCAGCAGCCCUUGCCCCCUGCGCGAACAGCCGCGAUGCCGGGACAUAGCACCUGUAGAGGAGGAUCAGUAUGACAGCCAGGCCCCCCGCCGCUCCCCACAUCCUCCACACCUUACUGCAGGGGCGUCACGGCCGCUAGUCUCCCCCUGGAGCUGCCUGGGAUGCCAUCAGCCCUUUGGACUGUAGGAAGGCCUUAUCUCCCUGACUCCUGGAGCGCGCUUCCCUCCUGCCUUUACUUAUAUCAUCAUUGACGUGCCUACUUAUCUGCAGCCUCCAAGAGGGUAGGGCCCAAUGUACGAUAUCCUCCAUAGAUCUUGGCGCCUGGUAGGUGCCCAGCUGAACCGUAGUCAGAGGGCCUGGGGUCAAUUAAUGCCAACCCUGUGCUCACUUCACACUCUAGGGAUGGCCUCAUCUCUCUGGGUCUUCAAAACCCACCUCACAGGGCUGUUCUCAGGAUUUAAUGAAAUGCCAGAUCGACUUCAGGUCAAGACUGGCUCAGUACAUGCUCAAUAACAAUAAAUCUCCGUGGCAGAAAGGAAUAAUGGUGUUGGAGUGUCUGGUGAGCUGGGAUUAUGUGGAGCGGAUGGGGAGAAUGUUGGUGAAUGCCCUGAUGGGCAGUGCAGGGACCCCCAACCUACAAUCUUGGUCCUUUUUUUAAAAAAAAAAUUAUUUAUUUAUUC
This is an RNA transcript of Canis lupus familiaris (dog), 3201 nucleotides long. It is a transcript of the gene named vitelline membrane outer layer 1 homolog, with no coding region annotated. The record is from RefSeq and is a predicted model, not a curated record. NCBI's taxonomy places the organism in Eukaryota, Metazoa, Chordata, Mammalia, Carnivora, Canidae. The transcript has 5 exons.